This 253-nucleotide ribosomal RNA is filed under the name uncultured bacterium. RNAcentral describes it as "partial 16S ribosomal RNA". It matches the Rfam family "Bacterial small subunit ribosomal RNA", at positions 524 to 776 of the family's 1533-position model. The record is from RNAcentral.
UACGUAGGGAGCAAGCGUUGUUCGGAUUUACUGGGCGUAAAGGGCUCGUAGGUGGCCAACUAAGUCAGACGUGAAAUCCCUCGGCUUAACCGGGGAACUGCGUCUGAUACUGGUUGGCUUGAGUUUGGGAGAGGGACGCGGAAUUCCAGGUGUAGCGGUGAAAUGCGUAGAUAUCUGGAGGAACACCGGUGGCGAAGGCGGCGUCCUGGACCACCACUGACGCUCAUGCACGAAAGCGUGGGGAGCAAACAGG